RNAcentral lists this microRNA precursor (188 nucleotides) under Oryza brachyantha (malo sina). Its description in RNAcentral is "MIR812 microRNA precursor family". It matches the Rfam family "MIR812 microRNA precursor family". Lineage: Eukaryota; Viridiplantae; Streptophyta; Magnoliopsida; Poales; Poaceae. The record is from Rfam by way of RNAcentral.
AAUAAGAUCGUUUUUCAGUUUUUUAUAAUAUUUUGAUUCUUCGUCUUAUUUGAAUUUUUUUACGAUUAAUAUUUUUAUUCUUAUUAUAUGAUAAAAUAUGAAUAGAACUUUACGUGCGACUAAUUUUUUAAAGCUUUUUACAAAUUUUUCAAAUAAAACGAAUGAUCAAACAUUGGAUAUAGAAAAAC